This 406-nucleotide ribosomal RNA is filed under the name uncultured bacterium. Its description in RNAcentral is "partial 16S ribosomal RNA". It matches the Rfam family "Bacterial small subunit ribosomal RNA", at positions 29 to 526 of the family's 1533-position model. The record is from RNAcentral.
AUUGAACGCUGGCGGCAGGCUUAACACAUGCAAGUCGAGCGAGCGGCGGACGGGUGAGUAAUGUCUGGGAAACUGCCUGAUGGAGGGGGAUAACUACUGGAAACGGUAGCUAAUACCGCAUACCAUCAGAUGUGCCCAGAUGGGAUAAGCUAGUAGGAGGGGUAAUGGCUCACCUAGGCGACGAUCCCUAGCUGGGCUGAGAGGAUGACCAGCCACACUGGAACAGAGAAACGGUCCAGACGCCGAGGGAAGGCAGAAGUGGGGAAUAUUGCACAAUGGGAGCAAGCCUGAUGAAACCAUGCCGCGUGUGUGAAAAAGGCCUUCGAGUUGUAAAGCACUUUCAGCGAGGAGGCGUUACUCGCAGAAGAAGCACCGGGUAACUCCGUGCCAGCAGCCGCGGUAAUAC